UUUGCCAAGGACGUUUUCAUUAAUCAAGAACGAAAGUUAGGGGAUCGAAGAUGAUCAGAUACCGUCGUAGUCUUAACCAUAAACUAUGCCGACUAGGGAUCGGGUGGUGCUACUUUGCCCACUCGGCACCUUACGAGAAAUCAAAGUUUUUGGGUUCUGGGGGGAGUAUGGUCGCAAGGCUGAAACUUAAAGGAAUUGACGGAAGGGCACCACCAGGAGUGGAGCCUGCGGCUUAAUUUGACUCAACACGGGGAAACUCACCAGGUCCAGACGUAAUAAGGAUUGACAAGUUAGAGACUUCUCUUGAUCUUACGGGUGGUGGUGCAUGGCCGUUUUUAGUCCUUGGAGUGAUUUGUCUGCUUAAUUGCGAUAACGGACGAGACCUUAACCUGCUAAAUAGGGCUGCGAGCAUCUGCUCGGGUGCUCUUCUUAGAGGGACUAUGGGUAUCAAACCCAUGGAAGUUUGAGGCAACAACAGGUCUGUGAUGCCCUUAGACGUUCUGG
This 504-nucleotide ribosomal RNA is filed under the name [Candida] sp. Levazot9. Its description in RNAcentral is "SSU rRNA". It matches the Rfam family "Eukaryotic small subunit ribosomal RNA", at positions 954 to 1485 of the family's 1831-position model. Lineage: Eukaryota; Fungi; Ascomycota; Saccharomycetes; Saccharomycetales. The record is from RNAcentral.